AUUAGAGUCGUAUUUUCGUCAUAGCUAAAAGAAUUAUACCCAAAAAUGACUUUUAAUGCCUUACUAACAUAAGACAUCAGCAAAGUAACUGUUGCACAGCACGGAUAUAUCACUCUCUGUCUCUUUAUACAUACACAUUACACUAAGAAAUGUUGUAUGCCGAUGGGAGGUUAUUGUCAAAAGGGUCUAGCCGAAAAUUGUUGCUAUCCAAUGACCUGUAACGCUGAGUCAAAUUCGUGUGAAGCCAUGGGUGGCGUGAUAUUUUAAUUUUAU
Long non-coding RNA from Leptopilina heterotoma, 273 nucleotides. RefSeq lists it as uncharacterized. The transcript has 2 exons. NCBI's taxonomy places the organism in Eukaryota, Metazoa, Arthropoda, Insecta, Hymenoptera, Figitidae. The record is from RefSeq and is a predicted model, not a curated record.